Molecule: microRNA precursor, 113 nt
Filed under: Dinoponera quadriceps
Lineage: Eukaryota; Metazoa; Arthropoda; Insecta; Hymenoptera; Formicidae
Description: microRNA dqu-mir-3715 precursor
Source: miRBase by way of RNAcentral
AAAAUGUGCGCGCUGUGCUGUCGGUAAACCGAGUGUAAGAACUUUGUUUCGCACUCUUGAAAGUAUUAUGCUCCGUUUAUCCGCAGUACGGCGACGACAAGAUCAUCUGGAUC